GAUGAACGCUGGCGGCGUGCCUAAUACAUGCAAGUCGAGCGAACGGACGAGAAGCUUGCUUCUCUGAUGUUAACGGCGGACGGGUGAGUAACACGUGGAUAACCUACCUAUAAGACUGGGAUAACUUCGGGAAACCGGAGCUAAUACCGGAUAAUAUUUUGAACCGCAUGGUUCAAAAGUGAAAGACGGUCCUGCUGUCACUUAUAGAUGGAUCCGCGCUGCAUUAGCUAGUUGGUAAGGUAACGGCUUACCAAGGCAACGAUGCAUAGCCGACCUGAGAGGGUGAUCGGCCACACUGGAACUGAGACACGGUCCAGACUCCUACGGGAGGCAGCAGUAGGGAAUCUUCCGCAAUGGGCGAAAGCCUGACGGAGCAACGCCGCGUGAGUGAUGAAGGUCUUCGGAUCGUAAAACUCUGUUAUUAGGGAAGAACAUAUGUGUAAGUAACUGUGCACAUCUUGACGGUACCUAAUCAGAAAGCCACGGCUAACUACGUG
RNAcentral lists this ribosomal RNA (497 nucleotides) under uncultured bacterium. Its description in RNAcentral is "partial 16S ribosomal RNA". It matches the Rfam family "Bacterial small subunit ribosomal RNA", at positions 28 to 507 of the family's 1533-position model. The record is from RNAcentral.